GAUGAAGAACGCAGCGAAAUGCGAUAAGUAGUGUGAAUUGCAGAAUUCAGUGAACCAUCGAAUCUUUGAACGCACAUUGCGCCCCUUGGUAUCCCGAGGGGCAUGCCUGUUCGAGCGUCAUUUCACCACUCAAGCCUGGCUUGGUGUUGGGCGACGUCCUCUUUGGGGACGCGCCUCGAAACGCUCGGCGGCGUGGCACCGGCUUUAAGCGUAGCAGAAUCUUUCGCUUUGGAAGUCGGGGCCCCGUCUGCCGGAAGACCUGCUCGCAAGGUUGACCUCGGAUCAGGCAGGGAUACCCGCUGAACUUAAGCAUAUCAAUAAGCGGAGGA
RNAcentral lists this unclassified non-coding RNA (329 nucleotides) under soil metagenome. RNAcentral's name for it is "partial contains 5.8S ribosomal RNA, internal transcribed spacer 2, and large subunit ribosomal RNA". The stretch from base 1 to 120 matches the Rfam family "5.8S ribosomal RNA", at positions 35 to 154 of the family's 154-position model. The record is from RNAcentral.